CUGACCAGCACGCAUGGGUCGACGUUUGAACAAACGAGCCCGUUCCAAUUGCCCCAUCAUGGGGCAGAUGGAUGCGUUAUUGUCAG
Molecule: non-coding RNA, 86 nt
Filed under: unclassified sequences
Description: L4-Archaeoglobi ribosomal protein leader
Rfam family: L4-Archaeoglobi ribosomal protein leades
Source: RNAcentral